This 1340-nucleotide ribosomal RNA is filed under the name metagenome. Its description in RNAcentral is "bacterial LSU rRNA". It matches the Rfam family "Bacterial large subunit ribosomal RNA", at positions 1565 to 2910 of the family's 2925-position model. The record is from RNAcentral.
AUACGUCCUUACCUUUAGGUGAGGGCCAGUUGGCUAUCAUACUUCCAAGAAAAGCUCGAACUACUGUAAAGCAUCAAGUACCUGUACCGUAAACCGACACAGGUGGGUUGGUAGAGUAUACCAAGGGGCGCGAGAUAACUCUCUCUAAGGAACUCGGCAAAAUGACCCCGUAACUUCGGGAGAAGGGGUGCCAAGUAACUUAAAUUGCUUGGUCGCAGUGACCAGGCCCUGGCGACUGUUUAUCAAAAACACAGGUCUCCGCAAAGUCGUAAGACAACAUAUGGGGGCUGACGCCUGCCCAGUGCCGGAAGGUUAAAGAAGUUGGUUAUUCACUUUUGGAGAAGCUGACGACUGAAGCCCCGGUGAACGGCGGCCGUAACAAUAACGGUCCUAAGGUAGCGAAAUUCCUUGUCGGGUAAGUUCCGACCCGCACGAAAGGCGUAACGAUCAGGGCACUGUCUCGGAGAGAGACUCGGUGAAAUAGACAUGUCUGUGAAGAUGCGGACUACCUGCACCUGGACAGAAAGACCCUAUGAAGCUUGACUGUAGCUUGGAAUUGGGUUCGGGCUCUUCUUGCGCAGCCUAGGUGGGAGGCGUUGAAAGUUUUCUUUUGGGAAAACUGGAGCCAUCAGUGAGAGACCACUCUGGAGGAGCUAGAAUUCUAAUGGCGUUCCUUGAAGCAGGACGCUUGACAGUUUCAGGUGGGCAGUUUGACUGGGGCGGUCACCUCCUAAAAGGUAACGGAGGUGUGCAAAGGUUCCCUCAGGCUGGACGGAAAUCAGCCGUAGAGUGUAAAGGCAGAAGGGAGCUUGACAGCAAGACCUACAAGUCGAGCAGGGGCGAAAGCCGGCCUUAGUGAUCCGACGGUUCCAUGUGGAAGGGCCGUCGCUCAACGGAUAAAAGUUACUCUAGGAUAACAGGCUGAUCUUCCCCAAGAGUUCACAUCGACGGGAAGGUUUGGCACCUCGAUGUCGGCUCAUCGCAACCUGGGGCGGUAGUACGUCCCAAGGGUUGGGCUGUUCGCCCAUGAAAGCGGUACGUGAGCUGGGUUCAGAACGUCGUGAGACAGUUCGGUCCAUAUCCGGUGUAGGCGCUAGAGCAUUGAGAGGAGCCUUCCAUAGUACGAGAGGACCUGGAAGGACGCACCUCUGGUAUACCAGUUAUCAUGCCAAUGGUACACGCUGGGUAGCCAUGUGCGGAGUGGAUAACCGCUGAAAGCAUCUAAGUGGGAAGCCCACCUCAAGAUGAGUGCUCUCCAUUAGGUCACAGGAAGACAACCUGUUUGAUAGGCAGAAGGUGUAAGGCCAGUAAUGGUUUCAGCUGAUCUGUACUAAUAGACC